GCGAGGAGGGCGCAUAUGUGCAAAGCACAUAUUUAGGAUGCGCCCGACAAUAUACCACAGAGCGAUAGCGAUGUGGUGAUACCCGGG
This 87-nucleotide small RNA is filed under the name unclassified sequences. Its description in RNAcentral is "GA-cis RNA". It matches the Rfam family "GA-cis RNA". The record is from Rfam by way of RNAcentral.